GCCGGGUGUGGUGACGCACUCCUGUAAUCCCAGCUACUUGGGAGGCUGAGGCAGGAGAAUUGCUUGAACCCGGGAGGCGGAGGUUGCAGCAAGCCUAGAUCGUGCCACUGCACUUCAGCCUGGGUGAAAAAGCAAGACUCCGUCUCCA
Molecule: unclassified non-coding RNA, 148 nt
Organism: Pongo abelii (Sumatran orangutan)
Lineage: Eukaryota; Metazoa; Chordata; Mammalia; Primates; Hominidae
Rfam family: Metazoan signal recognition particle RNA
About the family: The signal recognition particle (SRP) is a universally conserved ribonucleoprotein. It is involved in the co-translational targeting of proteins to membranes.
Source: Ensembl